GCCCGAAUGGCUCAGUGGUAAAGCGUCUCACUAGUAAUGAGAAGAUCGCUAGUUCGAUUCUGGCUUUGGGCA
RNAcentral lists this transfer RNA (72 nucleotides) under Colletotrichum liriopes. Its description in RNAcentral is "tRNA-Thr". It matches the Rfam family "tRNA". Rfam says of the family: Transfer RNA (tRNA) molecules are approximately 80 nucleotides in length. Their secondary structure includes four short double-helical elements and three loops (D, anti-codon, and T loops). Further hydrogen bonds mediate the characteristic L-shaped molecular structure. tRNAs have two regions of fundamental functional importance: the anti-codon, which is responsible for specific mRNA codon recognition, and the 3' end, to which the tRNAs corresponding amino acid is attached (by aminoacyl-tRNA synthetases). tRNAs cope with the degeneracy of the genetic code in two manners: having more than one tRNA (with a specific anti-codon) for a particular amino acid; and 'wobble' base-pairing, i.e. permitting non-standard base-pairing at the 3rd anti-codon position. RNAcentral also lists the same sequence under 1 other name. Lineage: Eukaryota; Fungi; Ascomycota; Sordariomycetes; Glomerellales; Glomerellaceae. The record is from RNAcentral.